GAAAAAGAGGAGUGGCGAACGGGUGAGUAACACGUGGGUAACCUGCCCAUCAGAAGGGGAUAACACUUGGAAACAGGUGCUAAUACCGUAUAACAAUCGAAACCGCAUGGUUUUGAUUUGAAAGGCGCUUUCGGGUGUCGCUGAUGGAUGGACCCGCGGUGCAUUAGCUAGUUGGUGAGGUCACGGCUCACCAAGGCCACGAUGCAUAGCCGACCUGAGAGGGUGAUCGGCCACAUUGGGACUGAGACACGGCCCAAACUCCUACGGGAGGCAGCAGUAGGGAAUCUUCGGCAAUGGACGAAAGUCUGACCGAGCAACGCCGCGUGAGUGAAGAAGGUUUUCGGAUCGUAAAACUCUGUUGUUAGAGAAGAACAAGGAUGAGAGUAACUGUUCAUCCCUUGACGGUAUCUAACCAGAAAGCCACGGCUAACUACGUGCCAGCAGCCGCGGUAAUACGUAGGUGGCAAGCGUUGUCCGGAUUUAUUGGGCGUAAAGCGAGCGCAGGCGGUUUCUUAAGUCUGAUGUGAAAGCCCCCGGCUCAACCGGGGAGGGUCAUUGGAAACUGGGAGACUUGAGUGCAGAAGAGGAGAGUGGAAUUCCAUGUGUAGCGGUGAAAUGCGUAGAUAUAU
Molecule: ribosomal RNA, 629 nt
Filed under: uncultured Bacilli bacterium
Lineage: Bacteria; Bacillati; Bacillota; Bacilli
Description: bacterial SSU rRNA
Rfam family: Bacterial small subunit ribosomal RNA
Source: RNAcentral